RNAcentral lists this ribosomal RNA (464 nucleotides) under Vreelandella stevensii. RNAcentral's name for it is "partial 16S ribosomal RNA". It matches the Rfam family "Bacterial small subunit ribosomal RNA", at positions 338 to 795 of the family's 1533-position model. Lineage: Bacteria; Pseudomonadati; Pseudomonadota; Gammaproteobacteria; Oceanospirillales; Halomonadaceae. The record is from RNAcentral.
CCUACGGGCGGCUGCAGUGGGGAAUAUUGGACAAUGGGCGAAAGCCUGAUCCAGCCAUGCCGCGUGUGUGAAGAAGGCCUUCGGGUUGUAAAGCACUUUCAGUGGGGAAGAAAGCCUUGGGGCUAAUACCCUCGAGGAAGGACAUCACCCACAGAAGAAGCACCGGCUAACUCCGUGCCAGCAGCCGCGGUAAUACGGAGGGUGCGAGCGUUAAUCGGAAUUACUGGGCGUAAAGCGCGCGUAGGCGGUCUGAUAAGCCGGUUGUGAAAGCCCCGGGCUCAACCUGGGAACGGCAUCCGGAACUGUCAGGCUAGAGUGCAGGGGAGGAAGGUAGAAUUCCCGGUGUAGCGGUGAAAUGCGUAGAGAUCGGGAGGAAUACCAGUGGCGAAGGCGGCCUUCUGGACUGACACUGACGCUGAGGUGCGAAAGCGUGGGUAGCAAACAGGAUUAGAUACCCUAUAGUC